This 93-nucleotide transfer RNA is filed under the name Thermoproteota archaeon. RNAcentral describes it as "tRNA-Ala". It matches the Rfam family "tRNA". Rfam says of the family: Transfer RNA (tRNA) molecules are approximately 80 nucleotides in length. Lineage: Archaea; Thermoproteati; Thermoproteota. The record is from RNAcentral. RNAcentral also lists the same sequence under 1 other name.
GGGCCGAUGGUCAAAGAGUAUCGAUCGGCGAAGCCUGGUACUGACACCUCCUUGGCAUGGAGGGGAUCGUGGGUUCAAAUCCCACUCGGUCCA